Molecule: ribosomal RNA, 357 nt
Filed under: Enterobacter hormaechei subsp. xiangfangensis
Lineage: Bacteria; Pseudomonadati; Pseudomonadota; Gammaproteobacteria; Enterobacterales; Enterobacteriaceae
Description: bacterial SSU rRNA
Rfam family: Bacterial small subunit ribosomal RNA
Source: RNAcentral
CAUUCGAAACUGGCAGGCUAGAGUCUUGUAGAGGGGGGUAGAAUUCCAGGUGUAGCGGUGAAAUGCGUAGAGAUCUGGAGGAAUACCGGUGGCGAAGGCGGCCCCCUGGACAAAGACUGACGCUCAGGUGCGAAAGCGUGGGGAGCAAACAGGAUUAGAUACCCUGGUAGUCCACGCCGUAAACGAUGUCGACUUGGAGGUUGUGCCCUUGAGGCGUGGCUUCCGGAGCUAACGCGUUAAGUCGACCGCCUGGGGAGUACGGCCGCAAGGUUAAAACUCAAAUGAAUUGACGGGGGCCCGCACAAGCGGUGGAGCAUGUGGUUUAAUUCGAUGCAACGCGAAGAACCUUACCUACUC